This 278-nucleotide ribosomal RNA is filed under the name uncultured bacterium. RNAcentral describes it as "partial 16S ribosomal RNA". It matches the Rfam family "Bacterial small subunit ribosomal RNA", at positions 333 to 608 of the family's 1533-position model. The record is from RNAcentral.
UUUGCCCUACGGGACGCAGCAGUGAGGAAUAUUGGUCAAUGGCCGGAAGGCUGAACCAGCCAAGCCGCGUGAGGGAGGAAGGUACAGAGUAUCGUAAACCUCUUUUGUCAGGGAACAAAGGCGGGGACGUGUCCCCGGAUGAGUGUACCUGAAGAAAAAGCAUCGGCUAACUCCGUGCCAGCAGCCGCGGUAAUAAGGAGGAUGCGAGCGUUAUCCGGAUUUAUUGGGUUUAAAGGGUGCGCAGGCGGGCUGUUAAGUCAGCGGUCAAAGCCCGGGGC